GUCGCAAGACCAAAGUGGGGGACCUUCGGGCCUCAUGCCAUCAGAUGUGCCCAGAUGGGAUUAGCUAGUAGGUGGGGUAACGGCUCACCUAGGCGACGAUCCCUAGCUGGUCUGAGAGGAUGACCAGCCACACUGGAACUGAGACACGGUCCAGACUCCUACGGGAGGCAGCAGUGGGGAAUAUUGCACAAUGGGCGCAAGCCUGAUGCAGCCAUGCCGCGUGUGUGAAGAAGGCCUUCGGGUUGUAAAGCACUUUCAGCGGGGAGGAAGGCGGUAAGGUUAAUAACCUUGUCGAUUGACGUUACCCGCAGAAGAAGCACCGGCUAACUCCGUGCCAGCAGCCGCGGUAAUACGGAGGGUGCAAGCGUUAAUCGGAAUUACUGGGCGUAAAGCGCACGCAGGCGGUCUGUCAAGUCGGAUGUGAAAUCCCCGGGCUCAACCUGGGAACUGCAUUCGAAACUGGCAGGCUAGAGUCUUGUAGAGGGGGGUAGAAUUCCAGGUGUAGCGGUGAAAUGCGUAGAGAUCUGGAGGAAUACCGGUGGCGAAGGCGGCCCCCUGGACAAAGACUGACGCUCAGGUGCGAAAGCGUGGGGAGCAAACAGGAUUAGAUACCCUGGUAGUCCACGCCGUAAACGAUGUCGAUUUGGAGGUUGUGCCCUUGAGGCGUGGCUUCCGGAGCUAACGCGUUAAAUCGACCGCCUGGGGAGUACGGCCGCAAGGUUAAAACUCAAAUGAAUUGACGGGGGCCCGCACAAGCGGUGGAGCAUGUGGUUUAAUUCGAUGCAACGCGAAGAACCUUACCUGGUCUUGACAUCCACAGAACUUUCCAGAGAUGGAUUGGUGCCUUCGGGAACUGUGAGACAGGUGCUGCAUGGCUGUCGUCAGCUCGUGUUGUGAAAUGUUGGGUUAAGUCCCGCAACGAGCGCAACCCUUAUCCUUUGUUGCCAGCGGUUAGGCCGGGAACUCAAAGGAGACUGCCAGUGAUAAACUGGAGGAAGGUGGGGAUGACGUCAAGUCAUCAUGGCCCUUACGACCAGGGCUACACACGUGCUACAAUGGCAUAUACAAAGAGAAGCGACCUCGCGAGAGCAAGCGGACCUCAUAAAGUAUGUCGUAGUCCGGAUUGGAGUCUGCAACUCGACUCCAUGAAGUCGGAAUCGCUAGUAAUCGUAGAUCAGAAUGCUACGGUGAAUACGUUCCCGGGCCUUGUACACACCGCCCGUCACACCAUGGGAGUGGGUUGCAAAAGAAGUAGGUAGCUUAACCUUCGGGAGGGCGCUUACCACUUUGUGAUUCAUGACUGGGGUGAAGUCGUAACAAGGUAACCGUAGGGGAACCUGCGGUUGGAUCACCUCCUUACCUUAAAGAA
This 1369-nucleotide ribosomal RNA is filed under the name Klebsiella pneumoniae. RNAcentral's name for it is "bacterial SSU rRNA". It matches the Rfam family "Bacterial small subunit ribosomal RNA", at positions 192 to 1533 of the family's 1533-position model. Lineage: Bacteria; Pseudomonadati; Pseudomonadota; Gammaproteobacteria; Enterobacterales; Enterobacteriaceae. The record is from RNAcentral.